UUUGAUGGUGGCUCAGAUUGAACGCUGGCGGCAGGCCUAACACAUGCAAGUCGAGCGGUAACAGAAAGAAAGCUUGCUUUCUUUGCUGACGAGCGGCGGACGGGUGAGUAAUGCCUGGGAAUAUACCCUGAUGUGGGGGAUAACUAUUGGAAACGAUAGCUAAUACCGCAUAAUCUCUUGUCUUUUACGAGAUGGGAGCAAAGAGGGGGACCUUCGGGCCUCUCGCGUCAGGAUUAGCCCAGGUGGGAUUAGCUAGUUGGUGGGGUAAUGGCUCACCAAGGCGACGAUCCCUAGCUGGUCUGAGAGGAUGAUCAGCCACACUGGAACUGAGACACGGUCCAGACUCCUACGGGAGGCAGCAGUGGGGAAUAUUGCACAAUGGGGGAAACCCUGAUGCAGCCAUGCCGCGUGUAUGAAGAAGGCCUUCGGGUUGUAAAGUACUUUCAGUUGUGAGGAAGGCGUUGGAGUUAAUAGCUUCAGCGC
Molecule: ribosomal RNA, 483 nt
Filed under: Photobacterium sp. CS3
Lineage: Bacteria; Pseudomonadati; Pseudomonadota; Gammaproteobacteria; Vibrionales; Vibrionaceae
Description: bacterial SSU rRNA
Rfam family: Bacterial small subunit ribosomal RNA
Source: RNAcentral